This 406-nucleotide ribosomal RNA is filed under the name uncultured bacterium. RNAcentral describes it as "partial 16S ribosomal RNA". It matches the Rfam family "Bacterial small subunit ribosomal RNA", at positions 28 to 526 of the family's 1533-position model. The record is from RNAcentral.
GAUGAACGCUGACAGAAUGCUUAACACAUCAGCCAUUGAUUGGUGGCGGACGGGUGAGUAACGCGUAAAGAACUUGCCUCACCGCUAGGGACAACAUUUGGAAACGACUGCUAAUCCCUACUCCUGUGAUAGAGCUUUUCGUCCCAUUAGCUCGUUGGAGAGGUAACGGCUCACCACGGCGAUGAUGGGUAGCCGGCCUGAGAGGGUGAUCGGCCACAAGGGGACUGAGACACGGCCCGUACUCCUACGGGAGGCAGCAGUGGGGAAUAUUGGACAAUGGACCAAAGUCUGAUCCAGCAAUUCUGGGUGCACGAUGAAGUUUUCGGAAUGUAAAGUGCUUUCAGUUGGGAAGCGGUACCAACAGAAGAAGUGACGGCUAAAUACGUGCCAGCAGCCGCGGUAAUAC